UUGAUGGGUUAGUUUUCAACCUUAUUCGGAUCGGGUCCAACUUAAUUUAUGGGUUAGUUUUCAACUUUAUCCGUGCCGGAUUCAUAUCAUUUUUGUAUAACACACUAAUUUCAUGUUAUAUAUGUUUUCUCUUUUUUGAGAAAUUCAUGUUAUGUUAUGUUGGAUCACAUCUUUUUUGUAAAGGUUAAAUAUAAAUUUUACGUAAUACUCCCACAUCUAUCACCCUCCCCUGCCUUUCUCACUCUCUCUCUUUCACUUACGGUAGAAUUUUCUAUAUAGGGCUAAGCGUAGAGAAGGAGCGGUGCGCACGGGACGCGGAGGGGGGGCGCACGGGGUGCUGGAGAGGGGCGGCGGCGGUGCUGCUGGAUAGAGGGAAUUAGAGUUUGGGGGCUGGGGGAGGGGAGUCGACGGGUUUGGAGGGAGAGUGGGGAAUUUUUUUUUUAUUUUUCUUUAAAAAUUAUUAAGUAUAAUUGUAUAUUUACCUCUAAAAAUGUUAAUUUUUUUAUUUUUCAUCUUCAUGAAUAUUAUUAUUUUUUUUAAUAAAUGAGAAUGUAUAAUUUGACCUAUUAACUCUAUAAUUAAAUAAAUAAUACUAAUAUACCUAAUGUAAUUUAUUUUAGCUAAUAUAAAG
RNAcentral lists this long non-coding RNA (631 nucleotides) under Salvia miltiorrhiza (redroot sage). Its description in RNAcentral is "long non-coding RNA (SMIL_LNC009450)". The record is from RNAcentral. Lineage: Eukaryota; Viridiplantae; Streptophyta; Magnoliopsida; Lamiales; Lamiaceae.